Molecule: ribosomal RNA, 253 nt
Filed under: uncultured bacterium
Lineage: Bacteria
Description: partial 16S ribosomal RNA
Rfam family: Bacterial small subunit ribosomal RNA
Source: RNAcentral
UACAGAGGUCCCAAGCGUUGUUCGGAUUUACUGGGCGUAAAGAGCGCGUAGGCGGAGGGAGAAGUCCGGUGUGAAAGCCCACGGCUCAACCGUGGAAGGUCGCUGGAAACUCUUCUUCUUGAGGGCGACAGAGGGAAGUGGAAUUGCUGGUGUAGCGGUGAAAUGCGUAGAUAUCAGCAGGAACACCCAUGGCGAAGGCAGCUUCCUGGGUCGGCCCUGACGCUGAGGCGCGAAAGCGUGGGGAGCGAACGGG